CAGUAGCCGCGGUAAUACGAAGGGCGCAAGCGUUAAUCGGAAUUACUGGGCGUAAAGCGUGCGUAGGCGGUUUGUUAGGUCUGCUGUGAAAUCCCCGGGCUCAACCUGGGAAUGGCAGUGGAUACUGGCAAGCUAGAGUGUGUCAGAGGAUGGUGGAAUUCCCGGUGUAGCGGUGAAAUGCAUAGAGAUCGGGAGGAACAUCAGUGGCGAAGGCGACUCUCUGGUCUGUAACUGACGCUGAGGAGCGAAAGCGUGGGGAGCGAACAGGAUUAGAGACCCCAGUAGUCCCUGUCUCUUAUAA
This 301-nucleotide ribosomal RNA is filed under the name uncultured bacterium. RNAcentral's name for it is "partial 16S ribosomal RNA". It matches the Rfam family "Bacterial small subunit ribosomal RNA", at positions 509 to 809 of the family's 1533-position model. The record is from RNAcentral.